GCUUAACAUGCAGUCGAACGGUGAAGCCCCUUCGGGGGCGGAUCAGUGGCGAACGGGUGCANUNACACGGUGGGCAACCUGCCCCUAGCUCUGGGAUAACCCCGGGAAACCGGGGCUAAUACCGGAUACGACCUCGAUCGGCAUCUUUCGAGGUGGAAAGUUUUUCGGCUAGGGAUGGGCCCGCGGCCUAUCAGCUUGUUGGCGGGGUAANCGNCCCACCAAGGCACAACACGGNUANCCGGNCUGAGAGGGACGACCGGCCACACUGGGANUGAGA
RNAcentral lists this ribosomal RNA (277 nucleotides) under uncultured bacterium. RNAcentral's name for it is "partial 16S ribosomal RNA". It matches the Rfam family "Bacterial small subunit ribosomal RNA", at positions 53 to 324 of the family's 1533-position model. The record is from RNAcentral.